GGGGAUGUAGCUUGGAGGUGGAGUGUGUGCUUUGCAUGCAUGAGGCCCCGGGUUCAAACCUCGGCCUCUCCA
This 72-nucleotide transfer RNA is filed under the name Pteropus alecto (black flying fox). It matches the Rfam family "tRNA". From Rfam's summary of the family: Transfer RNA (tRNA) molecules are approximately 80 nucleotides in length. Their secondary structure includes four short double-helical elements and three loops (D, anti-codon, and T loops). Lineage: Eukaryota; Metazoa; Chordata; Mammalia; Chiroptera; Pteropodidae. The record is from Rfam by way of RNAcentral.